GAUGGAUUUCCUACCUGCUGGAUGUGUGGACUCGGAGAACUGCGUCGUUCUUUCAAAUCUGGAAAGACGAUGGGCCUCAGAGGUCUAGUGAAGUUCAGGAAGGUAUUGAUUUAAAGAUGGAAGGAUCAGGGAAGAUACGGCCUUGGAGCCCCUUUCGGUCUCGCGACGGCUGAACCUCGGCAGCUGCGGCUGUGGAUGUGGCGAAUCCAGGCUCCUCUCUCUGUCCUUCGUCGUGUUGUUGCCUUUGACUACUUUUUUCUGGACUUGGACACACUGAAUUUUUGGGGCAUCUCCUGGGUGCUGCAGAGAGGCUCCGCGCGCUGGCGAGAGGGAGGUUCCCACGCAGACGGACGCCACCCGGGAUGCUACCGACUAAAGCAUAUGGUGAACAUCAGCCACUGCCUCCCAACUGUCACGCAGCCAUUACCGUGCUGCUUGAGUUUUAUGUGACACAAACAAUUCUCAGAGUUUUAUCAAAUUUAAUUUUUUCUAACCUUCAGCUUAGGAAAAAAUAUAGUCAUAAUGCAGAGGUCCAGCUCUCUGCAGAGAAAGGAGGGGGGCAGCAUAAUUCAGAUUUUGGGAGCUGAUAGGCUAAAUUUACCAUUGUGCGUGGUCAAGCUGCUAUUGAUGCUUGAGAGUUUUCAAUCGCUGUUAAUUGACUGGGGAAAAAAGAUAAUGUGUUUGAUCGAUCAGCAUGGACAAAUUUCAUUUAGGGGAUCAAUAACAGUUUAUACUUGACAGAGCAGAGGGACCACAUUUAUUUUUCCCUUUGAUUGAAUAAAUGUUUUCAAUGAGACUGCA
Molecule: long non-coding RNA, 801 nt
Filed under: Struthio camelus australis
Lineage: Eukaryota; Metazoa; Chordata; Aves; Struthioniformes; Struthionidae
Description: lncRNA (ENSSCUG00000003289.1)
Source: RNAcentral